RNAcentral lists this ribosomal RNA (499 nucleotides) under uncultured bacterium. RNAcentral's name for it is "partial 16S ribosomal RNA". It matches the Rfam family "Bacterial small subunit ribosomal RNA", at positions 30 to 523 of the family's 1533-position model. The record is from RNAcentral.
AUUGAACGCUGGCGGCAGGCUUAACACAUGCAAGUCGAGCGGGGGAAGGUAGCUUGCUCCUGAUUCAGCGGCGGACGGGUGAGUACAGCCUAGGAAUCUGCCCGGUAAUGGGGGAUACCGUUCCGAAAGGAACGCUAAUACCGCAUACGUCCUACGGGAGAAAGCAGGGGAUCUUCGGACCUUGCGUUAUCGGAUGAGCCUAGGUCGGAUUAGCUAGUUGGUGAGGUAAUGGCUCACCAAGGCGACGAUCCGUAACUGGUCUGAGAGGAUGAUCAGUCACACUGGAACUGAGACACGGUCCAGACUCCUACGGGAGGCAGCAGUGGGGAAUAUUGGACAAUGGGCGAAAGCCUGAUCCAGCCAUGCCGCGUGUGUGAAGAAGGUCUUCGGAUUGUAAAGCACUUUAAGUUGGGAGGAAGGGCUUAAGGCUAAUAUCCUUGAGUUUUGACGUUACCGACAGAAUAAGCACCGGCUAACUCUGUGCCAGCAGCCGCAGUAA